This 253-nucleotide ribosomal RNA is filed under the name uncultured bacterium. Its description in RNAcentral is "partial 16S ribosomal RNA". It matches the Rfam family "Bacterial small subunit ribosomal RNA", at positions 524 to 776 of the family's 1533-position model. The record is from RNAcentral.
UACGUAGGAUCCAAGCGUUGUCCGGAUUUACUGGGUGUAAAGGGUGCGUAGGCGGUCGGGUAAGUCUGAUGUGAAAUCUCACAGCUUAACUGUGAAACUGCAUUGGAUACUAUCCGGCUAGAGGAAUGGAGGGGAGACUGGAAUACUUGGUGUAGCAGUGAAAUGCGUAGAUAUCAAGUGGAACACCAGUGGCGAAGGCGAGUCUCUGGACAUUUCCUGACGCUGAGGCACGAAAGCCAGGGGAGCAAACGGG